CUUCAAGCUGACAAUUGCUUUGGUUUCAGCAGCGUCCGUGGAACGGUUCGUCGGACCUCCUGCUGAUUGGGAGUCGCGGGAACGCUCUUACUUUGACGUACGGCAGUCGAGUUUGUGUAGCUGUCAAGAUGGAGUUUGCUGGAUUACAUGGAAUAUCUUAAAACGUUCCACAGUAACACAUCAUUGAAAAUCAAGGACACAAGGGGCAUGAAAUGGAAACACAGACAGAGAGACAAACAGACGGGACCACUGUGAAAGUCUUUCAGUAACAGCUGAAAGCUGCCUUCCGCCUUGCACAUAGAUAAACAAGUGGCUGUUCAUUCAUCUUUGAAACAGGAUAACGUAUAAAUACUUUUAGAGGGAUCACUGUGCUAACUAAGAAAAUCAAGUGGAUUUGCGGAAAUAUAGUCUCUCUGCAGAAGUGAAAGAAGACUGAAAGCGAUUUGUACCAAGGAAACGAUUUAUAAUGGAAUAUAAACUGCUUAAGUUCAAAUGAUGGGCAGAGGGUUACAACCAGAAGCAUGCAAGGCAUGUUUUACAAAAAUUGAGUGGAAGUGAAAGAAGAGUGCUUUAGAAACCCACAUUUAUUUGGUAAGAACUUACAUUAUAAACCAGGUUUGUGCAGCAGUGACCAUCUUGGCUGGAAUUCGGAAGGUAGGAAGUUUAAGUUAAGAUGGAAUAUCAGCUAUCCUUAUGGUUGUGUCGUGGGUUUCCUCAGUGGCAAGAGAAGAAUUUAUGGAGAUUUCCUUGAAACGGCUGAACUCCUCUUUCAAAAGCCUUACAACUGACUAUUCAUGACCAUCUUCUCAUUUCAUUCGACGCUACAAAACAUGCGUGACUGAAUCAGCUAAGUUAAAUAACACAACAAUCAUUAUUAUUAAUUUUCUAUGCCCAGUUUCUACAGACAGGAAACUUCUCUAUUAAUUGUUUCUUUGUGUUUUGCGUGUCUGUGUAUGUAGGAGGAAAAAGAAGAAACAAAAAGUUAAAUAAAGAAGGAAAAUCGGAUAAAAACACAUAACUAUCCUAACACGACGAGUGUUUAUUUUACAGAAUAUAACACUAUAUUCUGGUAGACGGAUCUCAACAGAUAUUAGGUCUGCUCUUCACAGUCAUCGAUGUGACAACCUCAGAUCUGUACUAAUAUGGGCCACAAUAAACUUCGCUUUGUGACAACGGUUCGAUCACUAUAAAGAGACGUUCUAUUGUACGUUAUCAGGAGUCUGAGAUAUAUUUUAUAUAUAGGUCUACAUCGGAAACGUUGUGUACGCUUAUAUGAAAUGAAACUCGGACAGUAGACAGUGUCUAAUACAGUAGUUAUAUGGAAAUAUCAGUUUCAUUUGAAAGAUGAAUUCUAUGUCAGUUUCAUGUACAGUUUUCAUAAACCGAAAA
Long non-coding RNA from Cryptotermes secundus, 1389 nucleotides. RefSeq lists it as uncharacterized. NCBI's taxonomy places the organism in Eukaryota, Metazoa, Arthropoda, Insecta, Blattodea, Kalotermitidae. The transcript is spliced from 3 exons. The record is from RefSeq and is a predicted model, not a curated record.